CACCAGCUCUCCGAGUGGUAGGGAUGUUUAUUGGGCUUAAAGCGUCCGUAGCCGGCUUAGCAAGUCUCCUGUUAAAUUCAGCGACCUAAUCGUUGAGCCGCGGGAGAUACUGCUAGGCUAGGAGGCGGGAGAGGUCAACGGUACUUCCGGGGUAGGGGUGAAAUCCUAUAAUCCCGGGAGGACCACCAGUGGCGAAGGCUGUUGACUAGAACGCGCUCGACGGUGAGGGACGAAAGCUGGGGGAGCGAACCGGAUUAGAUACCCGGGUAGUCCCAGCUGUAAACGAUGCGAGCUAGGUGUUGGGGUGGCUACGUGCCACUUCAGUGCCGCAGGGAAGCCAUUAAGCUCGCCGCCUGGGGAGUACGGCCGCAAGGCUGAAACUUAAGGAAUUGGCGGGGAGCACCACAAGGCGUGAAGCUUGCGGUUC
This 427-nucleotide ribosomal RNA is filed under the name uncultured archaeon. Its description in RNAcentral is "bacterial SSU rRNA". It matches the Rfam family "Archaeal small subunit ribosomal RNA", at positions 474 to 903 of the family's 1478-position model. The record is from RNAcentral.